RNAcentral lists this ribosomal RNA (1407 nucleotides) under Triticum aestivum (bread wheat). Its description in RNAcentral is "partial small subunit ribosomal RNA". The record is from RNAcentral. Lineage: Eukaryota; Viridiplantae; Streptophyta; Magnoliopsida; Poales; Poaceae.
AUGAGCACAAGCCAUGAGCUGAGCAUUGACAUUGCUCUUAGUCCAACCACCGGCAGGAAUAUUGCUGUAAAUCAGAGCGGCGGCGGCGAGAUCCACACGGGGUGGCUGCGCGAGCUCACAUCGGCGUCACGUAGCUCGGCCGUCCUGAACGAGCUCAUCGGCCGUACGCCGAUGCUGUGGUUCCUCGGCGAGCGCGCGGCCACCAUCCUCCGGCCGCGCACCCGGCGCGCCAACGUGAAGGCGCUACACACGGUGCGCGCUGUGGCCAUUGGCCCGUACCACCGCGGCGACCGAGGCCUCGCCUUUGACGACGAGGCCAAGCUGCCGUUCCUGCGGUGCCUGCAGGACCGGUGCGGGCUAGACGUCGAGCAGUACGUCGCGGCGCUCGGGGCGGCGCGCGGCAGCUUUCGCGACGAGUUCGCCGACGACGCGGAUUCGGUCGCCGCGGAUUGGCUCCUGGACGAGGAGAAGUUCGUGAAGAUGCUCCUCCUCGACAGCAGCUUCGUCCUCGUCUUCAGCAUCAUGUUCAGCAAGGCCGGCAGCGGGGAGGAACGGGCGGCGGUGCCCGUUACCAGGGAGCACUUCAUACUGUACACGGCCGUGUCGCAGUACGCCGACGAGAUCAUGCUCGACCUGCUCGUGCUGGAAAAUCAGAUCCCCUUCGCCGUCGUCAAGCUGCUCGCAGCCUCGUGCUGCGUUCUGAAGCUACGCUCAGUCGAGGAGCUGGUGCUUGGCUGCUUCGACGGCAUCUGUCCGAGGAGGGCGCGCGGGAAGGUCAUCGACUUGCCGCUCCAGCAAACCUCUUCCACUGGUCGCGCGUGCCGGAGAACAAGUACCGCGGAGCUGCAGCUGUCGGCAGUGUGGUUCAGGAAGGCCAAGCUGGACGCGAGGGAGAGGCACGGCGGCGACCUCGACAUGCAGUUCUGGAGCACGGCGGCGAGCCCGGUGGCGGUGAUGACCAUCCCGAGCUUCCACAUCCUCGCCUACACCGCGGCGUUGCUCCACAACAUGGUGGCUUUCGAGAAGCACUUCCAACGGGCGCACGGCGUCUGCGUGACGGCGCACGUGGCGCGCAUGGAGGGCCUCAUACGGUGCCCGCAGGACGCGGCGCUGCUUCGCCGCCGGUGGGCACUCGGUAGCGUAAAGUACACCGACGAGGAGGUGGUGGAUUUCUUCCGUGGCAUCGUCGCGGAGGCGGCCGGGGUGCGCAUGCCUCAAGAGUACGGCGAGAUGCUCAGCGCGGUGGCGCGGCACAGGAGGAGGCGGUCAAGCAGGUGGUACGGAGACUUCAUACUGCACUUCUUCCCUUCUCCAUGGGUGGCCGUCUCGCUCGCCGUAGUGGCUGCGCUGAUCAUUGUGCCGGCGAUGCUGCAGACGGCCUACGCCAUUCUGAGUUACCAAAAGUAG